This 879-nucleotide ribosomal RNA is filed under the name uncultured bacterium. RNAcentral's name for it is "bacterial SSU rRNA". It matches the Rfam family "Bacterial small subunit ribosomal RNA", at positions 50 to 916 of the family's 1533-position model. The record is from RNAcentral.
AACACAUGCAAGUCGAGCGAGAAGGGAGCUUCGGCUCCCGGAAAGCGGCGAACGGGUGAGUAACACGUGGGCAACCUGCCUCAAGGAUUGGGACAACGUCGGGAAACCGACGCUAAUACCGAACGAUGUCGUCCGGCGCAAGCCGGCCGACCAAAGGGUAGCUUCGGCCUCCGCCUUGAGAUGGGCCCGCGUCCUAUCAGCUUGUUGGUGAGGUAACGGCUCACCAAGGCUACGACGGGUAGCUGGUCUGAGGGGAUGAUCAGCCACACUGGGACUGAGAUACGGCCCAGACUCCUACGGGAGGCAGCAGUGGGGAAUCUUGCGCAAUGGGCGAAAGCCUGACGCAGCAGCGCCGCGUGAGCGAAGAAGGCCUUCGGGUUGUAAAGCUCUGUCAGGGGGAAAGAAGGCACCUGGGUUAAUAGCCCAAGGGCUGACGGUACCUCCAAAGGAAGCCACGGCUAACUACGUGCCAGCAGCCGCGGUAAUACGUAGGUGGCAAGCGUUGUCCGGAAUCAUUGGGCGUAAAGAGCGCGUAGGUGGCUUGUCAGGUCUGAUGUGAAAACCUGGGGCUCAACUCCAGGCCUGCAUCAGAAACCGGCUUGCUAGAGUCUGGGAGAGGAGAGUGGAAUUCCUGGUGUAGCGGUGAAAUGCGUAGAUAUCAGGAGGAACACCGGUAGCGAAGGCGGCUCUCUGGAACAGUACUGACGCUGAGGCGCGAAAGCUAGGGGGGCGAACAGGAUUAGAUACCCUGGUAGUCCUAGCCGUAAACGAUGGACACUAGGUGUCGGGGGUGUCGACUCCCCCGGUGCCGAAGCUAACGCAUUAAGUGUCCCGCCUGGGGACUACGGCCGCAAGGCUGAAACUCAAAGGAAUUGACGG